This 667-nucleotide long non-coding RNA is filed under the name Homo sapiens (human). Its description in RNAcentral is "HSALNT0304051". Lineage: Eukaryota; Metazoa; Chordata; Mammalia; Primates; Hominidae. The record is from RNAcentral.
CGGCGGAGAGGCGGCCAGCGGCGGCGCGGCGGAGAGGCGGAUAGCGGCGGAGAGGCGGACAGCGGCGGCGCGGCGGAGAGACGGACAGCGGCGGAGAGGCGGACAGCGGCGGAGAGGCGGACAGCGGCGGCGCGGCGGAGAGACGGACAGCGGCGGAGAGGCGGACAGCGGCGGCGCGGCGGAGAGACGGAUAGCGGCGGAGAGGCGGACAGCGGCGGCGCGGCGGAGAGGCGGACAGCGGCGGAGAGGCGGACAGCGGCGGCGCGGCGGAGAGACGGACAGCGGCGGAGAGGCAGACAGCGGCGGCGAGGCGCGCAGCGGCGGCGCAGGCGCGGAGAGGCGCUGGCGCCGGCUCUGGCGCGGAGAGGUGCAGGCCCAGGCUCCACUCCCCAGCUGUGAAAGGGUGAAACGGAACCUACUGGAAUGAAGCUGGCCUCCCAUGGAAUGAAGCUGGCCUCCCGUCUCCUUGAUUUGAAGCAGCUUCUCCACGUUGGUUAUUAUGCCAUUUUUCUAAAUCUAACAUUUUAAAAUUUGUGCCUUUUCUUUCUCUUUUGCUUGACUUCUCAGAGGUUUUUUUAACGGUCUUUUCAAAGAAGUGGUUUUGGGUUUUAUUUAUCAAGUCUACUUUUAUUAUGGCUGUUUUAAAAUUAAAUACAUUUAUUUCUUG